Molecule: ribosomal RNA, 490 nt
Filed under: uncultured bacterium
Lineage: Bacteria
Description: partial 16S ribosomal RNA
Rfam family: Bacterial small subunit ribosomal RNA
Source: RNAcentral
AUUGAACGCUGGCGGCAGGCUUAACACAUGCAAGUCGAACGGUAACAGGAAGCUGUUUGCUGCUUUGCUGACGAGUGGCGGAUGGGUGAGUAAUGUCUGGGCAACUGCUCGAUGGAGGGGGAUAACUACUGGAUACGGUUGCUAAUACCGCAUAGCGUCGCAUGACUAAAGAGGGGGGCCUUAGGGCCUCUUGCCAUCGGAUGUGCCCCGCUGGGCUUAGCUUGUAGGUGGGGUAACGGCUCACCUAGGCGGCGAUGCCUAGCUGGUGUGAGGGGACGAACAGCCACACUGGAACAGAGACACGCUCCAGAGGCCUACGGGACGCAGCAGUGGGGAAUAGUGGACAAUGGGCGCAAGCCUGAUGCAGCCAUGCCGCGUGUGUGAAAAAGGCGUACGGGUUGUAAAGUAGUUUCAGCGGUGAGGAAGGGAGUAAAGUUAAUACCUAUGCUCAGUGACGUUACCCGGAAAAGAAGCACCGGCUAACUCCGUG